The sequence is a small nucleolar RNA, 80 nucleotides long. Its record names the gene SNORD24. It matches the Rfam family "Small nucleolar RNA SNORD24". From Rfam's summary of the family: U24 is a member of the C/D class of snoRNA which contain the C (UGAUGA) and D (CUGA) box motifs. C/D box snoRNAs have been shown to act as methylation guides for a number of RNA targets. The record is from Ensembl.
UGCUCCUGUGAUGACACUUAUUUGCUACUCUUGAGAAGAUGUGAUGAUACUCCAACCACCAAGUUGUAUUAUCUGAGGCA